UUAAAGACACAGACAAUAAAUAGCACAUGAUAGGUUGGGGCCUGUUACACACUUUGCAUUGGAUCUCAGAAGCUUCAAGUUAGGCCUCCAGACUGAUGAUGUGUGCAGUGGUCUUAGCACAGUACUGAAUACUACAACAAACCAAUUCACAAAACAUUGCACUUAUUCUAAAAUGGGCACUGUCAAAUUCAAAAACCUAUUUUAUGUUGUUCAUCUUGGCAAAACAUGGUAUUUCCUUUAUAUAAAAAUUAGGGCUUAUAAAAAAUAAAUAAAAAAAAGACCACUAGUUAUCCCCCCCAUACAAUCUAGAACACAAUCCUGUCCAGCUGCAGCAUCAUCUUUGUCCAAGCUGAAGCACAGGCAGAAACAAAGUCAAGGAAGUGAGGGCGAGACUAGUACUCCUCUGUGCUCACUCCUGUCCUAUCAGACUCCAGAAUAAAAACAGAGAGGAGGGGGUUAAGGAGCAGCCUGCAGUGAAUAUAUGAAAAGACCCAGCACUCAGGGAGGUCAUGCAGAGUGAGGACACACCACCUCCAAAGCACAGAAUGACAAAGCAAGUGAACAACAUAGAAGGAUAUGACAGGUACUCUUUAACCAGACUCUAGUAGGCAUCUCAAGGCAGCUUUGAAAAAACACCAUUUUGUUCCAUGGAUUGUGUCUGGCUUUGCAGCUCAUCCGUUUUCAAGUCAUGAGGGUUCAGUUGUAAUACCAAGCCCAGCCAAUGGUCAAGGGUGGUUCUGUUUCUGGAAAAAGCAACUUAUGUAAUUGUUACCUAAAAUGUCAUACCUGCUAUAGACAAUGGGGGAGAUUUAUCAAAUCCUGUGCAAAUUUGCCCAGUUGCCCAUAGCAACCAAUCAGCUUUCUCUUUGCAUUCUUAACAAGGCCUCUGAAAAAUGAAAGAAGCGAGCUGAUUGGUUGCUAUGGACAACUUUGCUUCUGCACAUUGAUAAAUCUCCCCCAUU
Molecule: long non-coding RNA, 962 nt
Organism: Hyla sarda
Lineage: Eukaryota; Metazoa; Chordata; Amphibia; Anura; Hylidae
Exons: 3
Source: RefSeq, a predicted model, not a curated record